This 350-nucleotide ribosomal RNA is filed under the name uncultured bacterium. RNAcentral's name for it is "bacterial SSU rRNA". It matches the Rfam family "Bacterial small subunit ribosomal RNA", at positions 355 to 719 of the family's 1533-position model. The record is from RNAcentral.
UGAGGAAUUUUCUACAAUGGGCGCAAGCCUGAUAGAGCAAUACCGCGUGAGGGAUGACGGCCUAUGGGUUGUAAACCUCUUUUCUCAAGGAGGAAGAUAUGACGUUACUUGAGGAAUAAGCAUCGGCUAACCCUGUGCCAGCAGCCGCGGUAAUACAGGGGAUGCAAGUGUUAUCCGGAAUUAUUGGGCGUAAAGCGUCUGCAGGUGGAUAGUUAAGUCUUAUGUCAAAUUUCUAGGCUCAACCUGGAGUCGGCAAAAAGAAACUGGUUAUCUCGAGUAUGGUAGAGGUAAAGGGAAUUUCAAGUGGAGCGGUGAAAUGCGUAGAUAUUUGAAAGAACUCCAAUAGCGAA